Molecule: long non-coding RNA, 557 nt
Filed under: Gossypium barbadense (sea-island cotton)
Lineage: Eukaryota; Viridiplantae; Streptophyta; Magnoliopsida; Malvales; Malvaceae
Description: long non-coding RNA (GBAR_LNC003897)
Source: RNAcentral
AGAGUCUCUCCCAAACUACCUCUUGGGAACCACGUGUAGCAGGUAUUUUUGAUAGUCCAAACAAAAACAACCCACUCCAACCUUCGUUUACUUCUUUAAAAGAUAUAUUGCAGUUUGAAACUAGAAAAAGUAUGUUGUAAAUGUAUUGUGAUUGUGAUUUGGGUUGCGAAAAUUAAUUAGCUACUAAUAGUAAUACCAUAGGCUUGUGAUUCACGUGAAAAAGUAGGACCAUUAAACUUAAUUCAUUUCAACUGCCACAAUUUCUAUUCACUGGGAAAAUACAAAUUUGGUUGCUUUUAUUAGUCGCUAUGCAAGAAAUGGAGAAUGUCGGUUGAUUAAUCAAAAUAUAUUUUUUGUAAUAGGAAGGAGGCUCUCUGGAAACGUUGAGGAAGUUACCGAAGCAUCGAAAUACACAAGCCAAACAUCAUGAUGUGUCCAUUUAAGCCCCCUUUGCUCACUAUCUUUGGUGUAAAGUUCCAUUACCACUCCCCACUCCUAUUUGCCCAAAACAUCACAUGAACGCAAAUCAAGAACACAAUAAAUUGGUUGUUGAAAAU